GCGCAGCAGGCGAGAAAACUUCACACUGUGCGAAAGCACGAUGAGGGAAUCCCAAGUGCUUGCACGUAAGUGUAAGCUGUUUCUCUGUUUAAAACGCAGAGAGAGUAAGGGCUGGGUAAGACGGGUGCCAGCCGCCGCGGUAAUACCUGCAGCUCAAGUGGUGACCGUUAUUAUUGGGCCUAAAACGUCCGUAGCCGGUUUAAUAAAUGCCUGGGUAAAUCGUGUAGCUUAACUAUACGAAUUCCGGGUAGACUGUUAAACUCGAGACCGGGAGAAGUUAGAGGUACUCCUGGGGUAGAGGUGAAAUUCUGUAAUCCUAGGGGGACCACCAGUGGCGAAGGCGUCUAACUAGAACGGGUCUGACGGUGAGGGACGAAGCCCUGGGGCGCAAACGGGGAUUAGAUACCCGGGUAGU
This 415-nucleotide ribosomal RNA is filed under the name uncultured microorganism. Its description in RNAcentral is "bacterial SSU rRNA". It matches the Rfam family "Archaeal small subunit ribosomal RNA", at positions 330 to 745 of the family's 1478-position model. The record is from RNAcentral.